CACGUAGGGCGCAAGCGUUGUCCGGAAUUAUUGGGCGUAAAGAGCUCGUAGGCGGUCUGUUGCGUCCGCUGUGAAAACCCGGGGCUUAACCCUGGGCUGGCAGUGGAUACGGACAGACUAGAGGUAGGUAGGGGAGAAUGGAAUUCCCGGUGUAGCGGUGAAAUGCGCAGAUAUCGGGAGGAACACCGGUGGCAAAGGCGGUUCUCUGGGCCUUACCUGACGCUGAGGAGCGAAAGCGUGGGGAGCGAACAGG
RNAcentral lists this ribosomal RNA (253 nucleotides) under uncultured bacterium. Its description in RNAcentral is "partial 16S ribosomal RNA". It matches the Rfam family "Bacterial small subunit ribosomal RNA", at positions 524 to 776 of the family's 1533-position model. The record is from RNAcentral.